GACGAACGCUGGCGGCGUGCUUAACACAUGCAAGUCGAACGAAGUGGCGAACGGGUGAGUAACGCGUAAUCAACCUGCACUUCAGAGGGGGACAACAGUUGGAAACGACUGCUAAUACCGCAUACUGAAGGAGGGGAUUGCGUCGGAUUAGCUAGUUGGAGGGUGAACGGCCCAACAAGGCGAUGGUCAGUAGCCGGUCUGAGAGGAUUAACGGCCACAUUGGGACUGAGAACCGGCCCAGACUCCUACGGGAGGCAGCAGUGGGGAAUCUUCCGCAAUUGACGGAAGUCUGACGGCGCAACGCCGCGUGAGUGAUGACGGCCUUCGGGUUGUAAAGCUCUGUUAAUCGGGACGCGGUACCGGAAUAGAAAGCCACGGCUAACUACGUGCCAGCCGCCGCGGUAAUUC
This 408-nucleotide ribosomal RNA is filed under the name uncultured bacterium. RNAcentral describes it as "partial 16S ribosomal RNA". It matches the Rfam family "Bacterial small subunit ribosomal RNA", at positions 28 to 526 of the family's 1533-position model. The record is from RNAcentral.